RNAcentral lists this ribosomal RNA (343 nucleotides) under uncultured bacterium. RNAcentral's name for it is "bacterial SSU rRNA". It matches the Rfam family "Bacterial small subunit ribosomal RNA", at positions 28 to 371 of the family's 1533-position model. The record is from RNAcentral.
GACGAACGCUGGCGGCGUGCUUAACACAUGCAAGUCGAGCGGUAAGGCCCUUUCGGGGGUACACGAGCGGCGAACGGGUGAGUAACACGUGGGUGACCUGCCCUCAGCUCUGGGAUAAGCCUGGGGAACUGGGUCUAAUACCGGAUAUGACUCCAUGACGCAUGUUGUGGGGUGGAAAGCCUUGUGCGGCUGAGGAUGGGCCCGCGGCCUAUCAGCUUGUUGGUGGGGUGANGGCCUACCAAGGCGACGACGGGUAGCCGGCCUGAGAGGGCGACCGGCCACACUGGGACUGAGACACGGCCCAGACUCCGUACGGGAGGCAGCAGUGGGGAAUCUUGCGCAA